Chelonia mydas (Green sea turtle) is the source of this 88-nucleotide non-coding RNA. NCBI's taxonomy places the organism in Eukaryota, Metazoa, Chordata, Testudines, Cheloniidae. The record is from Rfam.
CCUUCGAUAGCUCAGCUGGUAGAGCGGAGGACUGUAGGGCGCAGGCAGAGUCAUCCUUAGGUCGCUGGUUCGAUUCCGGCUCGAAGGA